Long non-coding RNA from Xiphophorus maculatus (southern platyfish), 959 nucleotides. RefSeq lists it as uncharacterized. NCBI's taxonomy places the organism in Eukaryota, Metazoa, Chordata, Actinopteri, Cyprinodontiformes, Poeciliidae. The record is from RefSeq and is a predicted model, not a curated record. The transcript has 4 exons.
CUGGAGCUCCAGAGUAACUUGGUUUUCUUUUCUGUUUAGGAGGUUUUGGUACAAACAAAGCCCGACGUUUUCUCCGUCUGCUGACGAACCCAGCAGAAACUCCCAGCAGAAACUCCCAGCAGAAACUCUCAGUUUUUGAAAACUGUAAGAACCAAGUUCUCUCCAUCCUGUGGCCAUCCAGCUGAGGUUCUGCUGUCAGGAUUUCCCCGUCAGCUGGUCCAGCAGCCUGACCGGAUCCAGGAAGUUAAGGUCCUGGGAGGAAACGCUUCCAACCCUCCACAUCCUGAUCAAGAGGAGAAUCCACGGAGAAUCACUUCCAGCUUCCUGGGCAUGCUGGUUCCACCUUGCGGUGUUAACGGACAGCGUGUUUUUGAAACCAGGGGCCCGGGCCGGUGACAGGAGCCCCGGGCCCUGCGGACAGCAGCUGGAGGAAGCAGAAGUUUGGCUCCCAACUUCACUCGAGUCCUGCUGGGCCACGACGACGAGGCCCGGUAAACUGGCGGUUUAUCCCUGCGGAGGUGGGGAUGACUGAGCAGGAAUAUGUCCGACACACUGUCCCCGUGUGUUUGAGACAGGAAGCAGACAGAAAUUAAUCCACAGCUGUCAUUUUGUCGCGCUGCAGACCCCGGUUGAUGGUAGCUUCGCUGGCUGUUGAGCCACAGAUGAGUCAAGUUUGCGUUUAGCGAGCAGAACUAACCGGAAGUCUGCUGCUUUACUUGAAAAACAUAAAAGCACGACGUCUGGCUUUCAAAGCAUUUUCAUAGUUUUGUUUUAUUUUGAAGACAACCCACCGGAAGUGGCUGUUUUUAGUUUAGUUCCAUUGAUUGAUUUUAACCCCUCACCUCAUUGGAUGAGUCCAACAAAAACACGAGUCAGAAGUGAUGUCAGAGCACGACAGAAAGACAAAUCUAAUAGUUCUGAUCUGGACGACUGUUAGUUCCGUUUUUAUUUUAUUAAGC